CUCCAGCAGACCCUCCCUCCCAAACCCUCCUACUUCCUGGACAGCAUCCAUGUUGAAACAUGGACCCUCCCUCCAAGACCCUCCUACUUCCUGAAACAUGGAUGCUGUCCAGGAAGUAGGAGGGUCUGGGAGGGAGGGUCUGCUGGAG
Non-coding RNA from Pelobates cultripes (western spadefoot toad), 148 nucleotides. The record is from the annotation of a GenBank genome assembly. Lineage: Eukaryota; Metazoa; Chordata; Amphibia; Anura; Pelobatidae.